Molecule: transfer RNA, 74 nt
Filed under: Promethearchaeota archaeon
Lineage: Archaea; Promethearchaeati; Promethearchaeota
Description: Candidatus Lokiarchaeota archaeon (microbial mat metagenome) tRNA-His
Rfam family: tRNA
About the family: Transfer RNA (tRNA) molecules are approximately 80 nucleotides in length.
Source: RNAcentral
GUGCUUGUAGCUCAAUUGGUUAGAGCGCCGGUUUGUGGUACCGGAGGUUGGCGGUUCGAGCCCGCUCUAGCACC